AUUGAACGCUGGCGGCAGGCCUAACACAUGCAAGUCGAACGGUAACAGGAAGCAGCUUGCUGCUUUGCUGACGAGUGGCGGACGGGUGAGUAAUGUCUGGGAAACUGCCUGAUGGAGGGUGAUAACUACUGGAAACGGUAGCUAAUACCGCAUAACUUCUCAUGACCAAAGAGGGGGACCUUCUGGCCUCGUGCCAUCGGAUGUGCCCGGGUGGGCUUAGCUUGUGGGUGGGGUAACGUUUCCCCUAGGCGACGAUCCCUAGGUGGUCUGAGAGGAUGACCAGCCACACUGGAACUGAGACACGGUCCAGACUCCUACGGGAGGCCGCAGUGGGGAAUAUUGCGCAAUGGGCGCAAGCCUGAUGCAGCCAUGCCGCGUGUAUGAAGAAGGCCCUCGGGUUGUAAAGUACUUUCAGCGGGGAGGAAGGGAGUAAAGUUAAUACCUUUGCUCAUUGACGUUACCCGCAGAAGAAGCACCGGCUAACUCCGUG
Molecule: ribosomal RNA, 490 nt
Filed under: uncultured bacterium
Lineage: Bacteria
Description: partial 16S ribosomal RNA
Rfam family: Bacterial small subunit ribosomal RNA
Source: RNAcentral